Molecule: transfer RNA, 84 nt
Filed under: Wenxinia saemankumensis
Lineage: Bacteria; Pseudomonadati; Pseudomonadota; Alphaproteobacteria; Rhodobacterales; Roseobacteraceae
Rfam family: tRNA
About the family: Transfer RNA (tRNA) molecules are approximately 80 nucleotides in length. Their secondary structure includes four short double-helical elements and three loops (D, anti-codon, and T loops).
Source: Rfam by way of RNAcentral
GCCCGCGUGGUGGAAUUGGUAGACACCGCAGACUUAAAAUCUGCUGGCCGCAGGGCCGUGCCGGUUCGAGCCCGGCCGUGGGCA